UACGUGGGGACCAAGCGUUGUUCGGAUUUACUGGGCGUAAAGGGCGCGUAGGCGGCAAUUCAAGUCAUCUGUGAAAUCUCCGGGCUUAACUCGGAACGGUCAGAUGAUACUGCUUUGCUCGAGUGCGGAAGGGGCAAUCGGAAUUCUUGGUGUAGCGGUGAAAUGCGUAGAUAUCAAGAGGAACACCUGAGGUGAAGACGGGUUGCUGGGCCGACACUGACGCUGACAGCGCGAAAGCCAGGGGAGCAAACGGG
This 254-nucleotide ribosomal RNA is filed under the name uncultured bacterium. RNAcentral's name for it is "partial 16S ribosomal RNA". It matches the Rfam family "Bacterial small subunit ribosomal RNA", at positions 524 to 776 of the family's 1533-position model. The record is from RNAcentral.